This 67-nucleotide transfer RNA is filed under the name Moschiola indica. RNAcentral describes it as "tRNA-Asp". Lineage: Eukaryota; Metazoa; Chordata; Mammalia; Artiodactyla; Tragulidae. The record is from RNAcentral.
GAGGUAUUAGUAAAAUAUUAUAUAACUUUGUCAAAGUUAAGUUACAGACUACAGUCUGUAUACCUCA